This is a long non-coding RNA of Phyllostomus discolor (pale spear-nosed bat), 955 nucleotides long. RefSeq lists it as uncharacterized. The transcript has 2 exons. NCBI's taxonomy places the organism in Eukaryota, Metazoa, Chordata, Mammalia, Chiroptera, Phyllostomidae. The record is from RefSeq and is a predicted model, not a curated record.
GCAGAGAAGCAGCUAAACUCAAGAAGCUAGUCAAGGGCAGAACUCUGAAGUCUCGUAACUACAUGUGUCACAUGUACAGCCUCAUAAAUGAGUGAGUGGACCCCAACCAGGAGAGGACCCACAUGGGACUUUGCUGAUGAGAAGGAGCACAGAGUAGGUUGGCUGGGCAAAGGAGAGGGAAGACUGAGCCCAUGGAAAGCAAUCACCACAUCUGCACCAGUACCCUCUGAUACAAUGGACUGAGCAGGACACAGCAUCAUUUUCCUGUAUUCUUGCAAAAAAAAAAUAACCUCAGAAACAAGUCAGACAAGACCACAUUGAAGAACAUUCUACAAAAUAACUGACCUUCAAAGUUCUCAAAGUUAUGAAAAACUGGAGGAACAGUAACAUAAAUAGAAACUAGGAAAUAGGACAGCUAAAUGCAGUGCGAGAACCUGGAUUGAAUCCUGGAUCAGAAAAAAGACAGUAGUGCGGAAACUGACAAAAUUCAAGUAAGGUCUGUAAAUUAGGUGAUUGUGCCAAUUUUAAUUUCCUGCUUUCAAGAACUUGACUAUGGUUAUGUAUGAUGUAUAUAACCAGAGGAAGCUGGGUAAAGUAAGGUAUAUAAGGAAUUCUCUGUACUAUCUGGCACUUUUGUCUAAAGUUAUUUCCAAAUAAAAAGUUACCUGUAAUGUUAAACUAAACAUCUGACACAAAGGAAGCCACCCUUGUUGCUCCCAAUAAUCAGCCACCACCAACUCUGCACUUAAAGUGUAAAAAGAAAAAAAAUACCUCCUGGGACACCCAACGAUGGUUUUCAUUUGUAACUAAAAUAAAAUUAAACACUUCUGCCAUGUGAUCACAUUUGGCUUCGGGUUUAGUUUCAAAGAAACUUCAGCCUCUGUUCUUUGGAAGCCAAGAGACAGGUUGAAAUGAACAAUAACAACAACAACAACAAAAGUCAAGCUAAAUUUGA